Molecule: long non-coding RNA, 320 nt
Organism: Anastrepha obliqua
Lineage: Eukaryota; Metazoa; Arthropoda; Insecta; Diptera; Tephritidae
Exons: 3
Source: RefSeq, a predicted model, not a curated record
AGUACAUCCAAACCCUAAAACAUUUGAAGCUUUCGCCAAUAAAAUUGUGGAUUUAUUUACGAGUGAAUCUAAAGAUAUAUAUUACAUUCAUAAGAAAGGAAAAAAGCCAGGUGGAUCUCUGUAUGCUAAGUACCACAGUGUAUUAUUGAAACUUAGACGGGAUGGUCUUAUUUCCAAAAGAGAUGUAGAACCAACAACAAAAGGAACGGAGAUUAAUUCUUGCAUAACAGAUUGCAUUCAAGAAAAAUCAUGGUUAAAGUAUAACGUUGAACCAUUCGAUGAAGUUCAACUAAAAUGGGAAGCGACUUUUGCUGUGCGAC